CCCUGGCCUGCGAUUUACAGAGAUUUGCCUCUGGAGUACUGGGGUGAUUUAGGACUGAGACUACAGCUCAGGAAGAGGGCUUACCUAGUGUGUGUGGGACCUUAAGUUCAAUUCAUGGCACUGGAAAAAAGCCAAAUUUUAAAAAGUAGAUUGAAGUAUAAUUCAUUUAAUAUAAACUGCAUACAUAAAAUAUAAUUUGAUAGAUAGAUUUUAGGUACGACCAUCUCUGUAAUCAAGAAAGUAGGUUGAUUAAAAAGGUUCUGUGUGUCCCUUUAUAGGCAAUGCCUUUCCGAAAAUCUCACCACCAGAUGCCCUUGAAUUUUCUAGUUUUGUAGAAUUAUGCUGUAUGAGUUAAUUUCUUAAACUUCCCUCUUCAAUGAGCUGUCUCCACGGUGUUUACAUCAAUCAGUUCAUUAGCAAUUUUGUUGGGGUAAACUGUGGCGGUCCUGUCCUGAGACUAGACUACUACUCCUUACGAUGGAAAUCUCUUUGGUCAUCAUCAUCUUGCAAGAAUUCUGUAUUUUACUGAGUUUUUUAAGUAAAAGAAGCAAAUAUGCAUCAGCUCAACAAUAAUGACCUUCGGCCAGUGUUGGGAUCUAAAAUGUCCCUGGAAGGUUAGCGUGCGGAAGACUUGAUUCCCCAGACCCUACUACAACAGCUGCAAGGCACUGGAAGCUUUAAGAGGUGGGUCCUGGAGAAAGGAAGUGACCUCAUGUGUGCGCGUGCCUUCCGUGCCUUCCUCGCUCUGCCCGCCCUGGGAACCGUUUUCCUCUCCCCAGAGGGGUUGGUGCUCAGCCUGGCCCGCUCCCAGAGCAAGCGGCUCACAGUGGUGAACUGGACCGGUGAAUCAGAAUAGACCAUUUCUUUUUUGUAAAUUCAUUACCUCAGGUCGGCUUCCUCCCUUGCUCCAGUACACACAUCGUUUUUUCUUAGAGGAAGAGGCUUUCAGCUCUCCUGCCUUCUCCUUUCCUAUGACUGAAGUGACCUCCGGGCUUGUGAAAGAAAUUGCCCCUGGUGUGGGCAUGCCAGUGUCUGGCUGCGUCUCCAGUUCCUUGGGGCUAAUCUCAUCCUCAUAAACUAUUUUCUCCGGAACUCAUCCGCAAGCCAGGAGUUGAAGGAGACCCUCUGAGCAGUCUUGGAGUUUAUUCUAGAUCUUCUUCGUUGUUGAGCCCUGGGGAGAAAGCCGAUGGGGGGGGCUGUCUGUGCCUCUGCCAGUUGUCACUCAGGGGCCAUUCCCUGUGCACUCUGCGGGGAAGGGGAAGACAUCAGGUCUGUGAGCUGCAGGCCCGAUACUGAGGUGGGAAGUCCAUGGCCAACCCUUUCUGUCUUGAUGAUUUGUGAAGCAGUGCCGCCCUCCUGCCUUGACCACCCCCAGCUGGGAUCUGAGGGGAGCUCUGCUCCUGGAGGCGGCUUGGGAGCUUGCCCUUUUUUGGUUCAACCCUGAUCAAGGCUCUGCCUGGAGUUUCCACUGCUGUUGCUCCUUAAAUGAACUCAAUGGGCGUUGGGCUUGGGAAGGGGAAAUGUCAGCAUUCCAAGUCCCAACUUGAGGGAAGACGGUUGCCCUGGCACAGGGACCCUGCGACCACAGUUCGUACGUUGAACUCCUAACCCCCAAAUUCUAGAAUGUGUGAAGAGAUGAAUCUUUUAAGAGUAACUCAAAAUGAGGCUGUAAGGGUGGGUCCUAAUCCAAUUUUAGUGUUAUCACAAGGUGACUAGGCCCCACAGAGGGUUCCCAGGGGCACACGGGCCUAGUGGGGAAACGCAGAGAGGGCCUUCUGUAGGCCCAAGAGGCGGGGUCAUAUGGGACCUUCCCAGAGCUGACUAGGGUUUUGCCUUUACGGAUGCAACCGCCCACAAACUCCAUGGGUCCAGUGUCUUAAGAGUGGUGCUGCUGUAAAGGCCAGUUGGGUCAGGCCUUUUACGUGGAAGGCCCUACUCUGCCUAGGGACUCUGCUAGCAAGGCCAUUGCCAAAUGCCUUGACCUUGUACCAACUACACAAGCUGUGGUAUUGUGUUAUUAGCAACGGAAAAUGCGCUCAGACAAGUGUUCAUAUUCGAGGAUCGUACCUGGCUACCAAGGACUCAGAAAAUGACUUUUUCAUGCUUUCUCUGCAAAAUAAAAGACUGGAAAAGCGA
This is a long non-coding RNA of Myodes glareolus (Bank vole), 2136 nucleotides long. RefSeq lists it as uncharacterized. NCBI's taxonomy places the organism in Eukaryota, Metazoa, Chordata, Mammalia, Rodentia, Cricetidae. The record is from RefSeq and is a predicted model, not a curated record.